Molecule: long non-coding RNA, 272 nt
Organism: Rosa rugosa (rugosa rose)
Lineage: Eukaryota; Viridiplantae; Streptophyta; Magnoliopsida; Rosales; Rosaceae
Exons: 3
Source: RefSeq, a predicted model, not a curated record
AAUCUAGUUGGGAGCAUUCCUUCUUGGGUCAACGGAACAAGUUUACAGCUUAAUUUAGUUGCCAACAACUUCACCCUUGACAGUUCAAACAGCAGGAAGCUGUCAAGGGACAAUUAUGGAGAUUACGUGAUCCCCAGGGGAAGCCACCAGGUGUAAUGCAGUAGUACAGCUAGCUAGUUUGUAUAUUUAACUUGUGUCUAGUAGAAAUUCUUCCUUCAUUAAGUAUUUGGACUUGUCUGCAGAUUCAAAUGAGUAGAUAUGGGCAAUUUUGA